UUGAAUCCAAUAUGGUGGGACAUGGCCGUCGAAAUUGGCAGUAGAUGUUGUGGUUACUGCGGGGAAAUUAUAGUUUGCUUCAGCACAAGGCUCGGAACUAAAUAGCCCCUCAGCUUCUCUGUAACUUUCUAUCGCUCAGUAAUGUUUAGAAAUAAGAUGGAAGGAAGAGAGGCCGCAAAACAUAGAAAUGAAGACCAUGUUUCCCAAGUACAUGCCAGAUGUCAACUUGUCAGCAAGAGAUUGCUGGUGGAAGCAAGCGAUAAAGAUUGGGCCUAAGAGAGCAUCAAGAAGGAAAGGCAUGAGAAAUUUACUGUUUGUCAGAGGAACAAAAGCUGCAACAGUAAUUACAUCGAGAAAAGGCUCAUCCUAUACCGUUGAGUAAGGUUUGCUCGAUAAAGAAGCCAUUUCAAGACUGGCGUCGCGUGUUCCUCAGGUUUCUUCGACAACCCAGCGCUGGACACCAAGGCACACGAUCACUUUAGGCAUGAGACUAGAGACAAAUAUCAAUCUUGGAAAGAAAGUAAAAUUGGACCGACCCCCACUUCAGAGAAUAAAAUGAAAAAUUGGGGGUCGAUCCGUCCACCAUCCCCCACC
Pocillopora verrucosa is the source of this 594-nucleotide long non-coding RNA. RefSeq lists it as uncharacterized. NCBI's taxonomy places the organism in Eukaryota, Metazoa, Cnidaria, Anthozoa, Scleractinia, Pocilloporidae. The record is from RefSeq and is a predicted model, not a curated record.